GUCAGGAUGGCCGAGCGGUCUAAGGCGCCAGACUCAAGAGUAAUCUUACCUCAAUCGCUGGGGUUAUGAGCGUUCUGGUCCUCUCUGAGGGCGUGGGUUCAAAUCCCACUUCUGACA
Non-coding RNA from Stomoxys calcitrans (stable fly), 117 nucleotides. The record is from Rfam. Lineage: Eukaryota; Metazoa; Arthropoda; Insecta; Diptera; Muscidae.